GACGAACGCUGGCGGCGUGCCUAAUACAUGCAAGUGGGACGCAAGGGAACACACUGUGCUUGCACACCGUGUUUUCUUGAGUCGCGAACGGGUGAGUAACGCGUAGGUAACCUGCCUAUUAGCGGGGGAUAACUAUUGGAAACGAUAGCUAAUACCGCAUAAUAUUAAUUAUUGCAUGAUAAUUGAUUGAAAGAUGCAAGCGCAUCACUAGUAGAUGGACCUGCGUUGUAUUAGCUAGUUGGUAAGGUAAGAGCUUACCAAGGCGACGAUACAUAGCCGACCUGAGAGGGUGAUCGGCCACACUGGGACUGAGACACGGCCCAGACUCCUACGGGAGGCAGCAGUAGGGAAUCUUCGGCAAUGGACGAAAGUCUGACCGAGCAACGCCGCGUGAGUGAAGAAGGUUUUCGGAUCGUAAAGCUCUGUUGUAAGUCAAGAACGUGUGUGAGAGUGGAAAGUUCACACAGGACGUAGCUACCAGAAAGGA
Molecule: ribosomal RNA, 487 nt
Filed under: Streptococcus mutans
Lineage: Bacteria; Bacillati; Bacillota; Bacilli; Lactobacillales; Streptococcaceae
Description: bacterial SSU rRNA
Rfam family: Bacterial small subunit ribosomal RNA
Source: RNAcentral